This 253-nucleotide ribosomal RNA is filed under the name uncultured bacterium. RNAcentral's name for it is "partial 16S ribosomal RNA". It matches the Rfam family "Bacterial small subunit ribosomal RNA", at positions 524 to 776 of the family's 1533-position model. The record is from RNAcentral.
UACGAAGGGGGCUAGCGUUGCUCGGAAUCACUGGGCGUAAAGGGUGCGUAGGCGGGUCUUUAAGUCAGAGGUGAAAUCCUGGAGCUCAACUCCAGAACUGCCUUUGAUACUGAAGAUCUUGAGUUCGGGAGAGGUGAGUGGAACUGCGAGUGUAGAGGUGAAAUUCGUAGAUAUUCGCAAGAGCACCAGUGGCGAAGGCGGCUCACUGGCCCGGAACUGACGCUGAGGCGCGAAAGCGUGGGGAGCAAACGGG